GAUGAACGCUGGCGGUAUGCCUAACACAUGCAAGUCGUACGAGAGUUUUUAACUCUAGUGGCGGACGGGUGAGUAACACGUGAGAAUUUGCCUUUAGGAGGGGGACAACAAUCGGAAACGAAUGCUAAUACCCCAUAUGCUUUCGAGUGAAAUGGAUUUUAUCCGCCUAGAGAGAAGCUCGCGGCUGAUUAGCUUGUUGGUAAGGUAAGAGCUUACCAAGGCGACGAUCAGUAUCUGGUUUGAGAGGACGAUCAGACACACUGGAACUGAGACACGGUCCAGACUCCUACGGGAGGCAGCAGUGGGGAAUUUUCCGCAAUGGGCGAAAGCCUGACGGAGCAAUACCGCGUGAGGGAAGAAUGCCUAUGGGUUGUAAACCUCUUUUUUCUAGGGAGGAAUCAAAUGACGUGUACCUGAAGAAUAAGCAUCGGCUAACUCCGUG
Molecule: ribosomal RNA, 442 nt
Filed under: uncultured bacterium
Lineage: Bacteria
Description: bacterial SSU rRNA
Rfam family: Bacterial small subunit ribosomal RNA
Source: RNAcentral